GACGAACGCUGGAGGCGUGCUUAACACAUGCAAGUCGAACGAUGAAAUGGAGCUUGCUCCAUGGAUUAGUGGCGAACGGGUGAGUAACACGUGAAUAACCUGCCCUUAAUUUUGGAAUAACCCAGGGAAACCUGGGCUAAUACCGGAUAAGUAAACCUGUGGCAUCACAUGGUUUUGGAAAGUUUUUCGAUUAAGGAUGGAUUCGCGGCCUAUCAGCUUGUUGGUGAGGUAAUGGCUCACCAAGGCGACGACGGGUAGCCGGCCUGAGAGGGUGAACGGCCACACUGGGACUGAGACACGGCCCAGACUCCUACGGGAGGCAGAAGUGGGGAAUAUUGCGCAAUGGACGAAAGUCUGACGCAGCGACGCCUCGUGAGGGACGAAGGUCUUCGGAUUGUAAACCCCUUUCAGCAGGGACGAAGCGAAAGUGACGGUACCUGCAGAAGAAGCACCGGCUAACUAUGUGCCAGCCGCCGCCGUAA
Molecule: ribosomal RNA, 482 nt
Filed under: uncultured bacterium
Lineage: Bacteria
Description: partial 16S ribosomal RNA
Rfam family: Bacterial small subunit ribosomal RNA
Source: RNAcentral